This 334-nucleotide unclassified non-coding RNA is filed under the name soil metagenome. Its description in RNAcentral is "partial contains 5.8S ribosomal RNA, internal transcribed spacer 2, and large subunit ribosomal RNA". The stretch from base 1 to 120 matches the Rfam family "5.8S ribosomal RNA", at positions 35 to 154 of the family's 154-position model. The record is from RNAcentral.
GAUGAAGAACGUAGCGAAAUGCGAUACGUAAUGUGAAUUGCAGAAUUCAGUGAAUCAUCGAAUCUUUGAAAGCACAUUGCGCCCGCCAGCACUCUGGCGGGCAUGCCUGUUCGAGCGUCAUUUCAACCAUCAAGCCCCAGGCUUGUGUUGGAGCCCUGCGGCUGCCGCAGCCUCCUAAAAGCAGUGGCGGGCUCGCUAUCACACCGAGUGCAGUAGAUUUCUCUUCGCUCAGGGCGUGUGGCGGGUUCCGGCCGUGAAACCCCCUACUCUUUAAGGUUGACCUCGGAUCAGGUAGGAAUACCCGCUGAACUUAAGCAUAUCAAUAAGCGGAGGA